AAGUCGUAACAAGGUUUCUGUAGGUGAACCUGCGGAAGGAUUAUUACCUAGAGUUUGUGGGCUUUGCCCGCUACCUCUUACCUAUGUCUUUUGAGUACUUACGUUUCCUUAGCGGGUUCGCCUGCCGACUGGACAAAAUUAAACCCUUUGCAGUUGCAAUCAGCGUCUAAAAAACAUAAUAGUUACAACUUUCAACAACAGAUCUCUUGGUUCUG
RNAcentral lists this unclassified non-coding RNA (215 nucleotides) under Ascochyta sp. RNAcentral describes it as "partial internal transcribed spacer region". The stretch from base 1 to 46 matches the Rfam family "Eukaryotic small subunit ribosomal RNA", at positions 1786 to 1831 of the family's 1831-position model. The record is from RNAcentral. Lineage: Eukaryota; Fungi; Ascomycota; Dothideomycetes; Pleosporales; Didymellaceae.